UACGUAGGGGGCAAGCGUUGUCCGGAAUCAUUGGGCGUAAAGCGCGCGUAGGCGGUCCGAUAAGUCUGCUGUGAAAGUCGGGGGCUCAACCCUCGGAUGCCGGUGGAUACUGUCGGGCUUGAGUGCGGAAGAGGCGAGUGGAAUUCCUGGUGUAGCGGUGAAAUGCGCAGAUAUCAGGAGGAACACCAAUGGCGAAGGCAGAUCUCUGGGCCGUAACUGACGCUGAGGAGCGAAAGCAUGGGGAGCGAACAGG
This 253-nucleotide ribosomal RNA is filed under the name uncultured bacterium. Its description in RNAcentral is "partial 16S ribosomal RNA". It matches the Rfam family "Bacterial small subunit ribosomal RNA", at positions 524 to 776 of the family's 1533-position model. The record is from RNAcentral.